RNAcentral lists this transfer RNA (78 nucleotides) under Thermoplasmata archaeon. RNAcentral's name for it is "tRNA-Met". It matches the Rfam family "tRNA". Rfam says of the family: Transfer RNA (tRNA) molecules are approximately 80 nucleotides in length. Their secondary structure includes four short double-helical elements and three loops (D, anti-codon, and T loops). Further hydrogen bonds mediate the characteristic L-shaped molecular structure. tRNAs have two regions of fundamental functional importance: the anti-codon, which is responsible for specific mRNA codon recognition, and the 3' end, to which the tRNAs corresponding amino acid is attached (by aminoacyl-tRNA synthetases). tRNAs cope with the degeneracy of the genetic code in two manners: having more than one tRNA (with a specific anti-codon) for a particular amino acid; and 'wobble' base-pairing, i.e. permitting non-standard base-pairing at the 3rd anti-codon position. RNAcentral also lists the same sequence under 2 other names. Lineage: Archaea; Methanobacteriati; Thermoplasmatota; Thermoplasmata. The record is from RNAcentral.
AGCGGGGUGGGGUAGCUAGGAAAUCCCGACGGGCUCAUAACCCGUAGAUCAGUGGUUCAAAUCCACUCCCCGCUACCA